CGGGCCGCUGCAGCAGUGAGGAAUAUUGCACAAUGGGGGGAACCCUGAUGCAGCAACGCCGCGUGGAGGAUGACGCAUUUCGGUGUGUAAACUCCUUUUAUAUGUCAAGAAAAUGACGGUAGCAUAUGAAUAAGCACCGGCUAACUCCGUGCCAGCAGCCGCGGUAAUACGGAGGGUGCAAGCGUUACUCGGAAUCACUGGGCGUAAAGGACGCGUAGGCGGGUUGGAAAGUCAGGUGUGAAAUCCUGCAGCUUAACUGUAGAACUGCACUUGAAACUUCUAAUCUAGAGUAUGGGAGGGGGAGAUGGAAUUAGUGGUGUAUGGGUAAAAUCCGUAGAUAUCACUAGGAAUACCUAAAGCGAAGGCGAUCUCCUGGAACAUUACUGACGCUAAGGCGUGAAAGCGUGGGGAGCAAACAGGAUUAGAUACCCCUGUAGUC
This 439-nucleotide ribosomal RNA is filed under the name uncultured bacterium. Its description in RNAcentral is "partial 16S ribosomal RNA". It matches the Rfam family "Bacterial small subunit ribosomal RNA", at positions 327 to 795 of the family's 1533-position model. The record is from RNAcentral.